RNAcentral lists this ribosomal RNA (497 nucleotides) under uncultured bacterium. RNAcentral describes it as "partial 16S ribosomal RNA". It matches the Rfam family "Bacterial small subunit ribosomal RNA", at positions 28 to 507 of the family's 1533-position model. The record is from RNAcentral.
GAUGAACGCUGGCGGCGUGCCUAAUACAUGCAAGUCGAGCGAACAGAUAAGGAGCUUGCUCCUUUGACGUUAGCGGCGGACGGGUGAGUAACACGUGGGUAACCUACCUAUAAGACUGGAAUAACUCCGGGAAACCGGGGCUAAUGCCGGAUAACAUUUAGAACCGCAUGGUUCUAAAGUGAAAGAUGGUUUUGCUAUCACUUAUAGAUGGACCCGCGCCGUAUUAGCUAGUUGGUAAGGUAACGGCUUACCAAGGCAACGAUACGUAGCCGACCUGAGAGGGUGAUCGGCCACACUGGAACUGAGACACGGUCCAGACUCCUACGGGAGGCAACAGUAGGGAAUCUUCCGCAAUGGGCGAAAGCCUGACGGAGCAACGCCGCGUGAGUGAUGAAGGUCUUCGGAUCGUAAAACUCUGUUAUUAGGGAAGAACAAAUGUGUAAGUAACUGUGCACGUCUUGACGGUACCUAAUCAGAAAGCCACGGCUAACUACGUG